RNAcentral lists this ribosomal RNA (253 nucleotides) under uncultured bacterium. RNAcentral describes it as "partial 16S ribosomal RNA". It matches the Rfam family "Bacterial small subunit ribosomal RNA", at positions 524 to 776 of the family's 1533-position model. The record is from RNAcentral.
UACAUGGGGUGCAAACGUUGCUCGGAAUUAUUGGGCGUAAAGCGCGCGUAGGCGGUUACUUAAGUCGGAUGUGAAGGCCCUCGGCUUAACUGAGGAAGUGCACCCGAAACUGAGUAGCUAGAGUACGAAAGAGGGUCGCGGAAUUCCCGGUGUAGAGGUGAAAUUCGUAGAUAUCGGGAGGAACACCGGUGGCGAAGGCGGGUCUCUGGGCAGUAACUGACGCUGAGGAGCGAAAGCGUGGGGAGCGAACAGG